UACAGAGGUCCCGAGCGUUGUUCGGAUUCAUUGGGCGUAAAGGGUGCGUAGGCGGCGGGGAAAGUCUGAUGUGAAAUCCUGGGGCUCAACCCUGGAACUGCAUUGGAUACUUCCUUGCUAAAGUACUGGAGAGGAAACUGGAAUUUACGGUGUAGCAGUGAAAUGCGUAGAGAUCGUAAGGAAGACCAGUGGCGAAGGCGAGUUUCUGGACAGUUACUGACGCUGAGGCACGAAGGCCAGGGGAGCAAACGGG
This 253-nucleotide ribosomal RNA is filed under the name uncultured bacterium. RNAcentral describes it as "partial 16S ribosomal RNA". It matches the Rfam family "Bacterial small subunit ribosomal RNA", at positions 524 to 776 of the family's 1533-position model. The record is from RNAcentral.